UCCUAGUUAACCUAGGCAGUCUCACUAGAGUACCCAUCUUUCAUGCUGGUAACUAAUGACAAGGGUUGCGCUCGUUGCUGGACUUAACCAAACACCUCACGGCACGAGCUGACGACAGCCAUGCAGCACCUAUGCAGAAGUCCUUACGGAAAACUACAUCUCUGUAGUCGCCCUCUGCAUUUCGAGCCCAGGUAAGGUUCUUCGCGUUGCAUCGAAUUAAACCACAUGCUCCACUGCUUGUGCGGGCCCCCGUCAAUUCUUUUGAGUUUCACCCUUGCGAGCGUACUCCUCAGGCGGUGUACUUAUCGCGUUAGCUUCGACACAAUCGGGGUUGAGCCCAAUUACAUCAAGUACACAUCGUUUACGGCAAGGACUAC
This 377-nucleotide unclassified non-coding RNA is filed under the name uncultured Simkaniaceae bacterium. RNAcentral's name for it is "contains 16S-23S intergenic spacer region". The record is from RNAcentral. Lineage: Bacteria; Pseudomonadati; Chlamydiota; Chlamydiia; Parachlamydiales; Simkaniaceae.